Molecule: ribosomal RNA, 502 nt
Filed under: uncultured bacterium
Lineage: Bacteria
Description: partial 16S ribosomal RNA
Rfam family: Bacterial small subunit ribosomal RNA
Source: RNAcentral
AUUGAACGCUGGCGGCAUGCCUUACACAUGCAAGUCGAACGGCAGCACGGGUGCUUGCACCUGGUGGCGAGUGGCGAACGGGUGAGUAAUACAUCGGAACAUGUCCUGUAGUGGGGGAUAGCCCGGCGAAAGCCGGAUUAAUACCGCAUACGAUCUACGGAUGAAAGCGGGGGACCUUCGGGCCUCGCGCUAUAGGGUUGGCCGAGGGCUGAUUAGCUAGUUGGUGGGGUAAAGGCGUACCAAGGCGACGAUCAGCAGCUGGUCUGAGAGGACGACCAGCGAAACUGGGACUGGGACACGGACCAGACUCCUACGGGAGGCAGCAGUGGGGGAUUUUGGACAAUGGGCGAAAGCCUGAUUCAGCAAUGCCGCGUGUGUGAAGAAGGCCUUCGGGUUGUAAAGCACUUUUGUCCGGAAAGAAAUCCUUGGCUCUAAUACAGUCGGGGGAUGACGGUACCGGAAGAAUAAGCACCGGCUAACUACGUGCCAGCCGCCGCGGUAA